Mustela erminea (ermine) is the source of this 643-nucleotide long non-coding RNA. RefSeq lists it as uncharacterized. NCBI's taxonomy places the organism in Eukaryota, Metazoa, Chordata, Mammalia, Carnivora, Mustelidae. The transcript has 4 exons. The record is from RefSeq and is a predicted model, not a curated record.
AGACAAGGUCCUUCUGUAAGCACUGCUAAUGUUUUCCUGCAUUUUACGGUUCUCAGGCAAGAUGCUGUAUUGAAUUCUAUGUUGGGUGGACCAUUUCUUCCUUCAUCUUUCAUAUGGAGGGGGCUCUACCUGAGAAACACUCUCGGCUCCUCUCCACUCUCUUACUCAUACUUGCCCCAGGGAAGAAGAACUCAUGUGAUUGAAUCUACUUGUCUGUCUGCUCUCUGCCAUGCAAUCAGAAUCCCUGGACCAGAGAAGCCUGAUGUUCUUCAGCUACACCCAUGAGUAGUCAACUCUCCCUACAAAUACCAAACUCAUGUGGCUCACCUGCUUGAAAUCCUCCAAGAGUACAAGAGAUGGAACAUAUCUGUCUCCCUCAAACCCAUGUGUUGGAACCCUAUCCCCCAAUGUGAUGGCAUCAGUAGAUGAGGCCUUCAGGAAGAAAUCAGGUCAUGAGAGUGGAACCCUCAUGAAUGGGAUCAGCACCCUCAUAAGAGCUUCCCCUCUAUCUCCGCUAUUUGCCAUGUGAGGAUACAGGGAGAUGGCUGUCUGCACAUCAGGAAGAAGGCCCUCACCACAUACCAGAUCAACUUAGCACCUUGAUCUUGGAUUUCCCAGCCUCCAGAACUAUGAGAAAUAAAUG